Molecule: long non-coding RNA, 908 nt
Organism: Tympanuchus pallidicinctus (lesser prairie-chicken)
Lineage: Eukaryota; Metazoa; Chordata; Aves; Galliformes; Phasianidae
Exons: 4
Source: RefSeq, a predicted model, not a curated record
AUCUUUGGUUGGAGAUCCCUCUCUUGUGGAGUUUUCACUGUGAGCCUAGAUCUUUGGAGAUGGAACAUGACUGGCCAUUGCAACACUUUACCAUAUGUAUCAACAUCGGACUAUAUCACUACCUGGAUCUCAGCAAUAAUUCUUUCUCAAAACCCCAGAAAAGCUUAAAGGAAAAGUAGUAGAAGAGGAGGAGUUCAUCAGAACAGCCCAUCAGUCCCAUUCACUGCAGAGAAGAAAGAGUUGAGAACUUCAGUUUCAAGAGACACUGUUGCGCAUUGAUCUCUGUGGGCACGCUCUGCUAACUGCCAAGAGGUUCACACUUCAAAUCAAUUGGAGCAAAUCUCAAGCUAUAUGACACUGAAAACACAGUCCUCUUUCUUUCAAAAAAAACUACGCCAAACAUCCUGAUCUUCUGUGAAAGCAACAAAACUGUAGAUGGACAAAUCUGCUUAUUUCCAGGUAGAAAUGCAUCUCGGUAUUUUAUUUUGGCUCUGGGGUGAAUAGCUGCAAUAUCUACAUAAGAAAGAAAUGUUGUCACGUGGUCUGCCACAUAUCAAAUGCAGGUAUGGUUCAUGCUUUAUUUUUCAUAGAUCUGCAGAAGAGCAUUUCUAACCUGUGACCAAGAAAAAAUGACAAUUCUAUCUUCAGCAGAUUUAACUAGAGCUGGACUAAUUGUAUCUAACAGGCUGCUUUCCAGUGUCUGCUGCUGAGAGUGGGACUACAUUUAAUUAACUUCCCUUUGCUUUUAAAUAGCUGUUCAUAGAAAUCAAAUAAUUUCUUGGAAAGAAAACCUAAAUCUACAAUACUGUUAUUGACCAGGAUAUUAUUUUUGCAUGUAAAUUCAUAGCGAACGACCAUUUGAUUACUAUGUUUCAUUAACUCUGCUUGAAAAAAAAAAAAAAAAGAAA